Molecule: long non-coding RNA, 1112 nt
Filed under: Vigna radiata
Lineage: Eukaryota; Viridiplantae; Streptophyta; Magnoliopsida; Fabales; Fabaceae
Description: long non-coding RNA (VRAD_LNC017281)
Source: RNAcentral
UAGUAACAAAGGGAUACUCAUCAUCGAUGAUUCUUGGUAGGAAAAUGACACCCACUUCUAAUAAUUUGAAUAUUCUUGUAGUGUGUUGUACAUUGUGUGUCAACUAAACACUUAUCAUUUCCAGACUCACAUCUUGGCAUUUCAUUUUCAAAGUCAUAAACUCUACCUUUAAGAUCCUAUUUUACUUAUUAUUGUCUAAUAAUCACUACAUUAAACUAUCGACCCUUAUAUUCUAAAACGGACAAAACUCCUAAGCAAAUAAAUAAUUCACUUAAUUAUAUUAUAUUUAAGUUUAUGCUAACAAAACUCUUCCAUAAACUUAAAUAUUUCCAAAUCUUCCUCUUUCCCGCUUUCCUCCUCUAGAGCAUCCUCUUCAUCAUCAUUGUCGUCUUCCUCAUCAUCGUCUUCAACCUCACUUAAAAGUGUGAUCUCGUUCCCCUCCACUUACUCUUUCAAUUCCUCUUAGACCUUCAUCUCAUGAUCAACCAAGCUAACCUUAUCCAUUACAUGACUCCCCAUGUUCCUUUUUGGGCUAUCGAAGAUCUCCACACUUUUUGCCAAGCUUUCUAGGCUAUCAAGACAUCUCAUCAAGUUUGAUAGGGCUUGUCUCAUGUUCCACCAAGCUCUCUACAUUCUCCUUCGAGCUCUGUAGAAGCACCAACAAGCUAACCAGGUUGGUCUCAUAUUCUACCGAGCUACUUGGUCUCCACAAAGAGAUAUCUGAGGUUCCCACCUACUCUCCUAGGCUAAUCGUCCUCUCCAAUUGCUUGUCCGAGCUUUCCACCGAGUUCUCCAAAAAAAUCUCCAAUGAGAUCUGCACCGAGUUGUUAUGGUACCUCCAUGGGCUUUCCAAGCUUUCCUUUUCCCUCUCCGAGCUACUUAGUUGUUUGGCCGACCUAUCCAUGAUAGUCAACUACCUAGCCGAGUUCCCCUUGCUACUUGGUUGUUUAUCCGAGUUCACUACACUACUUGAAUGUUUUUUCUGAGUUCUCUUUGUUGUUAAGCAUUUUUUCCGAGUUCUUCUUGUUGAGAUUGUUGACAACACAAUUUCUAUAUCACUCUAGUUUUUUAUGAUGACAACACAUUGCUUAAUAACAUGCAUAUGUUUUUGU